UUUUUUUUUUUGAGUAAAAGAGGGUUUCCCCUCCGAUUUCCAUUAGAGAAAUCAAAGCAAGUGCAGAAGCUAGUAGUCUGUUACAAGGCAACCAGAAGACAACGCAACCUGAAAGAAAGUCUAGCCACUAACGGCGACUAAACACUUUCCUACACAACUAGAAAGUUGAACUUAGCGGACAUCUCAUCAAGUAUAUUACAUUCCAUCCAAAAGGCAAAGCAAAAACUCAUGAUCAUGGAAGCAGAGUGACAUGAUCCGUAGAAGCAGAAGCUCCCGCUCCCUGAAGCCUUGAACUCCAAGCGCCACCCCUGCGAUGCUUUGUAGAUUUCACUUGUCACCUGUUCGAUGAGUCUUGCCCCCAGCAUCAACAUUCUUUUCCCUGGGUCCUUUUUCUAUAAAACAACCUAGUCAGUGAUCCAAUUACACAUUCUUUUAACGAUCCCAAUUGGGUCUUUUGUUUUCUUCCUGCCAAAUACAAUAUCGUUUAUACUAUUCCAAAUUGCCCACAAAAGAGCUGAAACACCAGCCAAUACCAGUUUCUUGUCAUUUUUGUUGAAUUUAUUCAGCCAAUUUCCAAAACAGUCAUUUAGAUCUCUUGAAAUGAGUUUGAGAUCAAAGGCACACCCCACCAAGCUCCAGAUGAGUCUAGCAACAGAGCAGGAGAAGAAAAGGUGAUCAAUAUUCUCCUCUUUCCAACACAACACACAAUGUUUAUCACCUUUCCAACCCCUUUUCAGCAGAUUGCCCUUAGUUAAAUGCUUUUUUUAUUUAGGAGCCAUAGGAAUAUUUUAAUUUUUGCAGGUACUUUUGUUUUCCACAUAAAUCUCUAUGGAAAGCCAACAUCAAUUUUAAUAAGAUUAAGAUACAAUGAUCUCACAGAGAAUUUUCUAUUUGUAGUCAACAUCCACAUAGGUUUAUCCCUCCCUCCAUGCAUCAUGAUUUCAUCACAUCUCUUUUUUAGGCUAUCCCAAAGAGUCUCAUAAUCCCCACAUAUUGUUCUUCUGAAAUACAUCCCUCCCCAUCCUUUGUUUAUAACUUCUCUAAUAGUAAUCUCUCUGUCAUUACUAAUGAAAUAUAGUGGGGGAUAGGCCUCCUUCAAGGGCUUAUCAUCUACCCACCAGUCUUCCCAGAAUCUAGUAUCUCCACCAUCACCAAGUUUUUUCUUGAUAUGAGGGUAAACCAGCCCCCUAAUCUUGAGGAGACUAGCCCAAAAUUGCGAGUCCCCUUUUUUCUGUUUGACACCAAAAAGGCAUUUGUCUUGUAUUUAGAUCUAAUUAUGUCUUGCCAAAGUCCAUCUUCAUCUUCUAGCUUCCAGAUCCAUUUGGCAAGCAAAGCAAUGUUAAAUUUUUCUAAAUUUGUCACCCCAAGCCCCCCUUGCUGUUUUGGCAAGCAGCAAGUUUUCCAGUUGACUAGGUGAUAUUUUUUUAUCCUCUUCAGCUUGCCACACUAAUCUGGCUCUAUAGAAGUCCACCUUUUUCCUAACCCCAUCAAGGAGUGGGUAAAAAGACAUCAUAUAAAUGGGAAUAUUUGUUAGACAAGAUUGCACUAAUGUAACUCUACCAGUUAUAUUAAGCAAUCUGCCCUGCCAGCAAGCACAUCUUUUUCCAAUUUUUUCAGUCACAUUCCUCCACAUGCUAUUUCUAAUCCUUCUAUUGUGAACUGGUAAGCCUAGAUAUUUUAAAGGCAUUUCUCCAAGAGCACACGCGAAGAUCUCUUGAUAGAGAUUUCCCUUACUUUUCACUUCUCCAAAAAGGUACAUAUCACUUUUAUGAAAGUUCAUUGUUAAUCCUGACAUUUGCUCAAAGGCAGUUAAGAUGAAUUUUAGAUUUCUAGUUGAAUCUUCAUCAUCCUGUAACAGAAAUAUAGUAUCAUCAGCAUAUUGUAACAUAUUCACCCAAUUUUCAUGAAUAUCAGUAAGCACCCCUUUGAUAUAACCUUCAGUUCUAGCUUUAUCCAUAACAUAAUAGGGCAUCUACUGCUAAAUCAAACAACAAGGGAGAGAGAGAAUCUCCCUGUCUGAGCCCUUUAAAGGUUUUGAAAAAUUUUCCCACAUUGUCAUUAACUUUUAUUCCCACAUGACCUCCCCUCAUGGCAUGCAUCACCCAAUCACACUACUUAUUAGGGAAUUAUUUCAGUUUGAGUAUUUUAUGAACAAAGGGCCACUUGAUUUUGUGAUAUGCUUUCUCAAAGUCCACUUUGAAUGGCAUAGCAUUUUGUUAUUUUGUAUGAACUGAAUUUAGGGCCUCAUGUAAAAUGACCACCCCUUCCAUAAUAUAUUUGCCUUUAACAAAGGCAGUUUGGAUGGGUGAGAUUAUAGGGUUAACCACUUUACUAAUUCUAUUCAUCAAGACUUUAAUAAUGAUUUUAAAACUGAAAUUCAGUAAACAAAUAGGCCUGAAUUUUUGAAUCUGCUUAGCAUCUUUAACUUUUGGGACCAAAGUAAUGAUACCAUAAUUGAGUCUAACUAAAUCUACCUUUCCAUUAUGAAAAUCAUCCUAUAUUCUUUUUAGGUCAUUUUUAACCAUUUCCCAAGUUUUUUGAUAAAACUCAAUAGCAAAUCCAUCUGGUCCUAGGCUUUUAUUCUUUUCCAUAGAGAAGACAAUAUCUUUAAUCCUAUCAACACUAAAAGGCUUGAUAAGUUCUUCCCGUGUCUGGGGAGAGACCCUCUCAGCCUCUUGAAUACUUAAGUUUAUGCUGGAAGUCUCAGCUUGUCCAAACAAUUUCUUAUAAAAUUCAGUAAUAUAGUCCAUAAGUUCUUUUUCCCCUCUAUAACUUUCCUAUCAUGUUCCAAUUUAAUAAUUCUGUUUUUCUCCUCCUCCCAUUCACUUUAGCAUGAUAGUAUCUAGUGUUUCAGUCACCUUCCCUAAUUUCCUUGUCUUUAUAUCUCUGCAACCAUUUAAUUUCUUUAAGCUUAAGAAAAUUCUUUAGUUAUUUCCUUAGUUCUUUUUUAAUAUCUCUUUCCUGUGCAUUAAUGCCUCUAGAUUCAGCAUUUUUAUCCAUCACAUCUAACAUGGCCAUCCGUUCCUUAUUUCUUUUCAUAUACAUAGCAUUUGCAUUUAACACCCAACCUUUCAUUUUCUGUCUGAUAUUUCUAAUCUUUUUUUGCCAGGUAUCCAUACUGGAUCCAUUGCAGCUAAUAUCCCAAUUUCUCUCAACAAAUUCUCUAAAGCCUUCCAUAUGCAUCCAAGCAUUUUCAAAUCUGAAGAUGGGUGGAGCAGUUCUUUGUUCCCCUGAGUCCAACAGCAAAGGGGUAUGAUCAGAGAUCUCCCUUUCCAGUGCAGUAACAAUGGUUAUAGGAUAUUUAUCUUCCCAAUCAAAGCAUAUUAAAAUUCUAUCUAUUUUUCAUAAGUAGGUUUUGGUAGGUUAUUAGCCCAAGUAAAUUUUCUUCCACUAAUAGGAAUGUCUCUCAGCCCCGCAUGUUCAAUGAUGGCAUUAAAAACAAAGCUAAAAUGGUCAUUUCCCCCUGGUUUGUUUUUUAGAACUAUUUCUGAUAAUGUUGACGUCUCCUCCUAUAACACAUGGAAGAGGAUUAUCUUGAUAUAAUCUUGACAGUUCAGCUAGAAAGGCUGCUUUGCCUUCUUUUUGAGCAUCAUCAUAUACAGUCACUAAGUUCCAGCUAAAUUUAGCUUUUUUGUCAAAUAUAAGUAACCUUACAUAGUAUGUCCCUUUUUUUACUUGCAAAAUAUCAAAGUUAUCACUAUUGAUACCUACCAGGAUUCCACCAGAUUUGCCCCUAGGAGCAAUCCAUUCCCACAGAAAAUUCUUCCCUCCAGAAAGGUUAUAAAGUUCAUUUUUGGAAUAAUCUCCUUAAUAGUUUCUUGCAAACCCACAAAGUCUAAGUGUUUCUCUAUAAUAGUCUCUCUAAUAAAAUUCCUCUUAAUAUCUUGUCUAAUCCCUCUUAUCAUUGUUUCUUUUUUUAACCCCUCCUAUUGAUAUAGCAUGCUUCCCAACACUAUUAGCUGAGGUGCCAAUCUUCAUUUUUCUAUUGCUAGAGAAAAUCUUUCUCAAAUUGUCAUAAUAAUCCAUUUCCAGUUCUGUGUCAGAAUGAUCAUUCUCAGAGCACAAUUCUUCCAGUACAGCAUCUCCAAUGUCAAUGGGACUUGGGGAGCUAAUUUUUUUAGUGUCCUCCUCUUGAUUUUUAAUAUUUUGGAGAUAUAGAUCUCUCCUAGCCUGCUCCAUAUUGGCAAUCAGGUCUAGGUUUUGAUUAACUAGAUCAAUAGAGCAUUCUAGUUCCACCCCCCACAUUUUUCUCCAUAUCAAACAAAUAAAUUCUUUCAUCUAAAAAAGUGGGAAACUUACCAUAAUUGUCUUUGUCAGCGGCUCUUUCCUUGGCCAAAUCUUCAAUUUUAACAUCUUUUUUGUCCAGGUUCCUGUCACUUCUUCUAGUAGGCCCAUCUUUGUCCUUAUCAUUAUCAUCUUUAGUGUUGAUGCCCAAUUUGGAACCCAGAGACUCCACAGAAUCCUGGCUGGCAUUAUAGUCCACUUGUUCAGUGUAGUUAUCUUCCAUCACUGGACCCUGUGGAGUAUCUUUGUCAUAUUGAUUUUUUCUCCAAGAUCCUCUCCAGUCAGUUCUUUUUCAUCCCAUAGCUCAAUUUUCUCCAUACACUUGUCUAUCAGCUCAUGUUGAUUCUUGAUCAUGUCCGCCAUUUUAUUUAUCUCUUCCUCCCAGGAGUUAUGCUUUUUUUCCUCCACUGCCCUCCAGGCUUCCUGUCUACAUUUGUUUUCCUCCAUUUCAUCCAUCUUUUGUAGCACUUUGUCCAGAUCAGCUUCCACUUUCUUCCUCAGCCAACCUCAGCCAGAUAUUCCUUCUAAACUUUGAGAAUUUCAUCAUUCAUUUUCAUCAUUUCCUCAAAUUGUUUGAGUCCUACACUGCCUAGUGAAAUGUUUUCCUUGCUCCCUGCAUCAUGAUCUGUCAUACUAUCUUCAUGCUUCCUUUUCUCUUCAUACCAACCUUGCUCCGCUACUUUUUCUAGCUCUAGAGUGACUCUGUAGAUCAUGAGAUCCUUGUUAGUAACUUCAGUAUGCUUUGGAAUUUUUUCAAAGUCUCUCACCCUCACCUUGGCCCUGAUUUUUUCUUGCAGAAUGGUUGUCAUGUCAAUCUCUAGAACUGGUCCAAUAGUGGCAGCCACCUCACAAGCACCAAAGAAGUGUCUAAAGCACUCUGGCAUUUUCCCUAUAUUCACCCACACAGUGUGAAGUUUCCUAUGGCAUGUGUGUCAUAUGUCCAGCUGUCAACAUUUAUGGUAGACUUUGUUCCCAGGAGGUUGAAGUUGCCAAAUUUAUGGAGCUCCACCACUUCUCUCUUGUUGGGAAAUCUCAUCAGGUAGGCUUUGUCACCUUGUCUCUUGCACCUCCAUUGCCAAUCCCAUUUAAACAUGUAGUUGAAACCUUCCAAGAAUUAUGUUUCAUUAAUUUCUGCAGAAGCAAUUCCGACAAUUGGCAUGGGAUUGGUUUGUUCACUGCUCACCGCAUCCUUGGAGUUUUGAAUCAGCAUCACUCCUAUCCCCCUAGAUGCAUAUCCUACAAACUUAGGCAGAGGUUUUAUCUGUUUCAGCCAAGUGCAAUCUUCUAUGAUGUGUGAGUUCUUUCCACAAAUGAUGCAGUUGGGGAGUUUGCAUUCUCUUGUCAGAUGUCUAUAGUAUCUGCACUUGUUGCACAUAACCCUAAAAUUAGAUCCAUUCUUGCUUCGAUCAAGUCCUUCUCUCUGCCCAAACUUAGCUGUGCCCCCCCCCAACUGUUUUGAUUCUAUCUGUAUCCUGUUCCAUUGUCAGAUUCUCUCCUUUUGCCACCAUCUUUGUUGUCUGCAACGCUUCCCUUCCCACUGUCUACCUCUGACUCCUUCAAACCCACUAUUUGACUUCCAUUCCCCCCUAGUAGCAGCACCUGCCCCCUGCUGUGCCAGUUGGACAAGAAGAGCGCCAAACCACUACUGCUGUUGAAGUAAAUCAAGAGAUGGAUUCAGAGAGGAAACAUAAUUUUUACCUUUUCCUUCUUGCUCUACCCGAUCAGUUUCUUGAUUGAUUUCACUCUUCUCUUUGAUCUCAUCUGCCAGACUAGCCCCUGAUCUCGAUCCUCUCCUCCAUCACCUCUAUAGCUAGAGUUGCCAGGGGUGAAUCUUGAUCCAAAUCCCUAUGAACUGCUACUGUGUUGCUAGAAAUUCCCUCUGAACCUGUCCACAUCUUCUUCCUUCUUUCUAUAUUGAAACUUCUCUCUCCCCCAUGAUUGAACCUCCCCUCUGUUUCCACCAAAUCCUCUGUUCAUAGCACCUCUCUCUUCUACUUAUGGUGGCGGCGGGGGUGGGGGAACCCUAGCUCCUCAAAGGGAUUGAUCUCUCCUCCCAACCAGGGGAGAGACUCGUCAUUUAUAUUGCUAAAGCUUUUAGAAAGCAUAUUCAUAAAAGGCGUAUUCCUACUUUCCCCUUUUUGCCCCUCCUUUUCCUUUUCACAAUUUAUCUCUCCCCAAACUGAGUUAAAAUUGGUUCCAUCACCUAAACCUUGUUUGAUUUCCAUUUCAUUAAUAUAAACUGCCUCAUUAUACCAGAAAUCUAGAAUUUGAGCAUAUCGGUUUUUGUUCAUUUCCCUGAUAAUCUCUCUGCCAAGCAUAACUUGGCUUUGAGUAAUCUCAUUUUCGUUGUUACCCAAGGGAUAUAAUCCACGCCCAUUUCUAAUCUUAGUUUUCUCUCCAUCUUCAGCAGCUAAUCGCCGCUUUUUCAUUUUAUUCUUGCCAGAAUUACCCAUUGACGUAGGUUCGAAUAGAUAUUUUUUCAAGGGGAGGGGAAUACCUUGUAAAUCCGGUGAGGGCCCAGCCUCCUCGUCGGAAUCCUCACCAACGAG
Molecule: long non-coding RNA, 6833 nt
Filed under: Triticum aestivum (bread wheat)
Lineage: Eukaryota; Viridiplantae; Streptophyta; Magnoliopsida; Poales; Poaceae
Description: long non-coding RNA (TAES_LNC016686)
Source: RNAcentral